UACGUAGGGUGCAAGCGUUAAUCGGAAUUACUGGGCGUAAAGCGUGCGCAGGCGGUUUUGUAAGUCUGUCGUGAAAUCCCCGGGCUCAACCUGGGAAUUGCGAUGGAGACUGCAAGGCUAGAAUCUGGCAGAGGGGGGUAGAAUUCCACGUGUAGCAGUGAAAUGCGUAGAUAUCGAGAGGAACACCUGCGGCGAAGGCGGGUUGCUGGGCUGACACUGACGCUGAGGCGCGAAAGCCAGGGGAGCGAACGGG
This 253-nucleotide ribosomal RNA is filed under the name uncultured bacterium. RNAcentral's name for it is "partial 16S ribosomal RNA". It matches the Rfam family "Bacterial small subunit ribosomal RNA", at positions 524 to 776 of the family's 1533-position model. The record is from RNAcentral.